AGCAGCCGCGGUAAUUCCAGCUCCAAUAGCGUAUAUUAAAGUUGUUGCAGUUAAAAAGCUCGUAGUUGAAUUUCGGGAUUGACACAUCGGUCGUGCCUUAAGGGGUAUGAACUGGUGUAGUCAACUUCUCACCUUCUGGAGAACCACGAUGCCCUUAAUUGGGUGUCGCGGGGAACCAGGACCUUUACUUUGAAAAAAUUAGAGUAGUUUAAAGCAGGCAUUUUGCUUGAAUACAUUAGCAUGGAAUAAUAAAAUAGGACGGCAUGAUUCUAUUUUGUUGGUUUCUAGGAUCACCGUAAUGAUUAAUAGGGAUAGUUGGGGGCAUUAGUAUUCAAUUGUCAGAGGUGAAAUUCUUGGAUUUAUUGAAGACUAACUACUGCGAAAAGCAUUUGCCAAG
This 397-nucleotide ribosomal RNA is filed under the name uncultured Entrophospora. RNAcentral's name for it is "SSU rRNA". It matches the Rfam family "Eukaryotic small subunit ribosomal RNA", at positions 569 to 962 of the family's 1831-position model. The record is from RNAcentral. Lineage: Eukaryota; Fungi; Glomeromycota; Glomeromycetes; Entrophosporales; Entrophosporaceae.